UUUUAUGGAGAGUUUGAUCCUGGCUCAGGAUGAACGCUGGCGGCGUGCCUAAUACAUGCAAGUCGAGCGAACGGACGAGAAGCUUGCUUCUCUGAUGUUAGCGGCGGACGGGUGAGUAACACGUGGAUAACCUACCUAUAAGACUGGGAUAACUUCGGGAAACCGGAGCUAAUACCGGAUAAUAUUUUGAACCGCAUGGUUCAAAAGUAAAAGACGGUCUUGCUGUCACUUAUAGAUGGAUCCGCGCUGCAUUAGCUAGUUGGUAAGGUAACGGCUUACCAAGGCAACGAUGCAUAGCCGACCUGAGAGGGUGAUCGGCCACACUGGAACUGAGACACGGUCCAGACUCCUACGGGAGGCAGCAGUAGGGAAUCUUCCGCAAUGGGCGAAAGCCUGACGGAGCAACGCCGCGUGAGUGAUGAAGGUCUUCGGAUCGUAAAACUCUGUUAUUAGGGAAGAACAUAUGUGUAAGUAACUGUGCACAUCUUGACGGUACCUAAUCAGAAAGCCACGGCUAACUACGUGCCAGCAGCCGCGGUAAUACGUAGGUGGCAAGCGUUAUCCGGAAUUAUUGGGCGUAAAGCGCGCGUAGGCGGUUUUUUAAGUCUGAUGUGAAAGCCCACGGCUCAACCGUGGAGGGUCAUUGGAAACUGGAAAACUUGAGUGCAGAAGAGGAAAGUGGAAUUCCAUGUGUAGCGGUGAAAUGCGCAGAGAUAUGGAGGAACACCAGUGGCGAAGGCGACUUUCUGGUCUGUAACUGACGCUGAUGUGCGAAAGCGUGGGGAUCAAACAGGAUUAGAUACCCUGGUAGUCCACGCCGUAAACGAUGAGUGCUAAGUGUUAGGGGGUUUCCGCCCCUUAGUGCUGCAGCUAACGCAUUAAGCACUCCGCCUGGGGAGUACGACCGCAAGGUUGAAACUCAAAGGAAUUGACGGGGACCCGCACAAGCGGUGGAGCAUGUGGUUUAAUUCGAAGCAACGCGAAGAACCUUACCAAAUCUUGACAUCCUUUGACAACUCUAGAGAUAGAGCCUUCCUCUUCGGGGGACAAAGUGACAGGUGGUGCAUGGUUGUCGUCAGCUCGUGUCGUGAGAUGUUGGGUUAAGUCCCGCAACGAGCGCAACCCUUAAGCUUAGUUGCCAUCAUUAAGUUGGGCACUCUAAGUUGACUGCCGGUGACAAACCGGAGGAAGGUGGGGAUGACGUCAAAUCAUCAUGCCCCUUAUGAUUUGGGCUACACACGUGCUACAAUGGACAAUACAAAGGGCAGCGAAACCGCGAGGUCAAGCAAAUCCCAUAAAGUUGUUCUCAGUUCGGAUUGUAGUCUGCAACUCGACUACAUGAAGCUGGAAUCGCUAGUAAUCGUAGAUCAGCAUGCUACGGUGAAUACGUUCCCGGGUCUUGUACACACCGCCCGUCACACCACGAGAGUUUGUAACACCCGAAGCCGGUGGAGUAACCUUUUAGGAGCUAGCCGUC
Molecule: ribosomal RNA, 1477 nt
Filed under: Staphylococcus aureus
Lineage: Bacteria; Bacillati; Bacillota; Bacilli; Caryophanales; Staphylococcaceae
Description: bacterial SSU rRNA
Rfam family: Bacterial small subunit ribosomal RNA
Source: RNAcentral